GGCGCUAUAGUGUAGUGGUUAUCACUUGGGAUUCUGAUAUUCAAUUUCCCAAAACCCAGGUUCGAGCCCUGGUAGCGCCU
Molecule: transfer RNA, 80 nt
Filed under: Trametopsis cervina
Lineage: Eukaryota; Fungi; Basidiomycota; Agaricomycetes; Polyporales; Irpicaceae
Description: tRNA-Gln
Rfam family: tRNA
About the family: Transfer RNA (tRNA) molecules are approximately 80 nucleotides in length.
Source: RNAcentral